AAGUCGAACGGGGAUGCAGCAAAAGCUUGCUUUUAUUGCAUCCUAGUGGCGGACGGGUGAGUAACACGUGAGCAACCUGCCCGACAUACUGGGAUAACAGCGGGAAACCGUUGCUAAUACCGGAUACUCCAUUUCUGGCGCAUGUCAGAGAUGGGAAAGGGUUUACCGAUGUCGGAUGGGCUCGCGUCCCAUUAGCUGGUUGGUGAGGUAACGGCUCACCAAGGCUGCGAUGGGUAGCUGGUCUGAGAGGACGAUCAGCCACACUGGAACUGAGACACGGUCCAGACUCCUACGGGAGGCAGCAGUAGGGAAUAUUGGGCAAUGGAGGCAACUCUGACCCAGCCAUGCCGCGUGAAGGAAUACAGCCCUACGGGUUUUAAACUUCUUUUAUUAUAGAGUAACCGGAGGUACGUGUACCUCCCUGCAAGUAUAUAAUGAAUAAGGAUCGGCUAACUCCGUGCCAGCAGCCGCGGUAAUACGGAGGAUCCGAGCGUUAUCCGGAUUUAUUGGGUUUAAAGGGUGCGCAGGCUGAUCGAUAAGUCAGGGGUGAAAAAUUUCAGCUUAACUGGAAUCGUGCCUUUGAUACUGUCGGACUAGAGUGUAACUGACGUGACUGGAAUGUGCCGUGUAGCGGUGAAAUGCUUAGAUAUGUCACAGAACGCCAAUCGUGAAGACAGGUCACGAAGUUACUACUGACGCUCAUGCACGAAAGCGUGGGGAUCAAACAGGAUUAGAUACCCUGGUAGUCCACGCUGUAAACGAUGAUUACUCGUUGUU
This 777-nucleotide ribosomal RNA is filed under the name uncultured bacterium. Its description in RNAcentral is "bacterial SSU rRNA". It matches the Rfam family "Bacterial small subunit ribosomal RNA", at positions 59 to 824 of the family's 1533-position model. The record is from RNAcentral.